This 253-nucleotide ribosomal RNA is filed under the name uncultured prokaryote. Its description in RNAcentral is "partial 16S ribosomal RNA". It matches the Rfam family "Bacterial small subunit ribosomal RNA", at positions 525 to 777 of the family's 1533-position model. The record is from RNAcentral.
ACGUAGGUGGCAAGCGUUGUCCGGAAUUAUUGGGCGUAAAGCGCGCGCAGGCGGCCUUUUAAGUCUGAUGUGAAAGCCCACGGCUCAACCGUGGAAGGUCAUUGGAAACUGAAAGGCUUGAGUACAGAAGAGGAAAGCGGAAUUCCACGUGUAGCGGUGAAAUGCGUAGAGAUGUGGAGGAACACCAGUGGCGAAGGCGGCUUUCUGGUCUGUAACUGACGCUGAGGCGCGAAAGCGUGGGGAGCAAACAGGA